ACACACAAAAUGUUUAUUGCUGUCUAUUGUUUCAAAACAGCUAGUUCAAGUGAUUAUGGUGUACUCAUGUUUAAUUCACCUGGGCUCAAUUUAUGUUUUUUGUUCUUUUUUUACACAAAUAUAUGCACAACUCUGUUUACUACUCAGCGUAGCCAGGUGCAACAAUUAGGUCCAAAUGUUUGCAGCAUAUUAUUUGGCAGUAGAAAUGUGAGGCUAAAUCAGCCCCUGUUUUUCAGUUUGUACUAACUCAAAAAAAUCUGAUUCUCGUGAUGUGAUUAAGUCACGUGUGCACUGACACACUUUUGGGCUCUUUGGAAACCGGAAAAGAAGUAGUUUAGAUGGUUUAGCAAUAAGAAUUUAGGAAAUGUGCCUCACAUCCUGUUUGUCUGUAUUCACCAUCAACUUUGUUUGUGUGAGCCAGCCAAAUGAGUCCAAGUAAAGCUGUGAAGCUGCAUGUUUCAGUACCACAAUGUGUGUCUUUCUUAUCAAUGGUAAAAGAGCUCUGAAAACAACUUACCAAAUUACCAUUAACAUAAAGUUUUUAGGAAUUAUGUCAACAACUGGUGCAAACAAAGAGCUGCCUGGCAAAAAAGUUCAACCUGGCUUAAUGUUUGCCUCAGCAUAAAACAACAUCAUCCAGCACUGGCCAAUCAAGUGCAUGCAAGCACACCUUCCCCAUAGAUUAUGUUGUAAUAUGGAUGCCGUAUUUCUACUGUUUAUCUUGUAAUUGUAAUGAUGAAAUAUAAAACGUUUGCAGCCAUGAUAACUUUGCAGAGUUGUUAAGUCCUUCCUGACAGACCACCAUGCAACACUUAAAGUAUCUGUGAAGCUUUCAGUCUCAUCGAUCUAUUACUUAAACUGGACUGGCUGGAUCAAAUUUCAAUGGUCCUGCUCAUGCUGCCACAACAGCUCUGACUGUGACAUGGACUCCACAGGACCUCUGAAGGUGUCCAAGCACCAAGAUGUUAAAGAAAACAAUGUCACCUAAAGAGGUCUGAACGUAGACUGGUUGAUGAGUCAGAUGGAGAUCUCCAACAUGUUUUAUGUUGAUAUGUUGUGGAAUUAUCAUGGCACAAUACAAGUUGAUUGGAGAAGUGAUGUAUUUUGCGUAUUGAUGCCAACAAGCAAUGCAAUUAAUUAAUAAAAUAAUAAUUUGCAGAA
This is a long non-coding RNA of Lates calcarifer (barramundi perch), 1161 nucleotides long. RefSeq lists it as uncharacterized. The transcript is spliced from 2 exons. NCBI's taxonomy places the organism in Eukaryota, Metazoa, Chordata, Actinopteri, Centropomidae. The record is from RefSeq and is a predicted model, not a curated record.